Molecule: long non-coding RNA, 322 nt
Filed under: Lathyrus oleraceus (garden pea)
Lineage: Eukaryota; Viridiplantae; Streptophyta; Magnoliopsida; Fabales; Fabaceae
Description: Pisum sativum (pea) long non-coding RNA (PSAT_LNC020444)
Source: RNAcentral
UACCAAAUGAACCCUCAUGGACUUCAGUCAUCAACAGGUCUGCUUCGUGUCUAUCCACGCAUCUGAGCAGAACCAUGUCAAAAUUCCUCUUGUAAAGCACAUACAUUGGAAUGAGUACCAAAUGAACCCUCAUGGACUUCAGUCAUCAACAGGUCUGCUUCGUGUCUAUCCACGCAUCUGAGCAGAACCAUGUCAAAAUUCCUCUUGUAAAGCACAUCACCAUUAAGGUAUAAACUACCAGAUAAUCUCCUCAAAGUCUUCUUAUCUUUAACAGAUGCCCCAGGCGGGUAAGUCUGACUUUAGAGAAAACACUUGAUAUCAU